UCAGCGGUUUAUAUAGCUGGUGCCUUUUUUGCCCUUAUUAUCCGAUAAUUAUGUUUCCGUGGACAGUUCUCAGCGGUUACCGUCCACCCUUUUUUUCCUCCCACGUCGCUACCUCCGUGAUCCAUAUAUAAUGUAAUAUUCUAAUGGUUAGAUUGAAAAGAAUCAUUGAAUAUCUAAGAAGAAAACCACCGAGAAGUACGGAUCGAAACUUCAUGAAACCUCGCAGCAAAAUCAUCAUCGCUACAUCAUGCUUCAGAAUUCCUAAUUCACGCUUCAGGGUAGAAUCGUUUACUUAUGCUUCACUCAAUUGUGAAGAAGUCGAAGGAUAUAAUUCUUGGAUUAUGAACAGUUAGGCUGAUGCUGUUACUCCUUGGGGUUUGAAUCGGAAUCUCCAUUAAAUAAGUUGAAUAUUCGCCGAUGGAAGCACACGACGUCACUUUCCGCCAUGUUCUGGUUUUGCGUCGCCGUGUAAGCCUGUUUAACUGUUUGAUGCUCUACUCUUCACAGUGACAACUUCCCUAAGUUGUCGUUCAUCAUUUUUCUGCCACUUUGCCGGUCGGCAUUCCGAUGUGCGAUCUAUAGGUUUCAUUGCUCGAUUUUGUCCAUGAUUUUGGUGCAGCGGGCUUAAAGCAAGUUUCAUGCUGCAAUUUUGGCCUUUGGUUAUUAACGUACGGUUUCGUUUAAGCGAAUUGAGGACGGAAUUGCCAAAAAAGAUCACCCGCUUUUGAGGUUUCCUUUUCUCCCCUUUAGAUGAUUACUUCAUCCUUCGUUGCUCAAAAUAUUACUUUUAUACAAGUCCUACUAUAAUGUAGGCAUUAAAUAUGAAAGAGGUAUGAUGUUUAUGUUACCUAAAUUUGGUUCUUGGUGGUUUUUACUUAUACAUCUUAUUAUUGAGUUUGAGUUUAGAACUAGAUGUUCAACUGUUUCUCAUCAUACUUUUCUUAACUCAUGGUUUUCAUAGUAUAGUUGAGGUUUUAAACUUAUAAUAUAUAAGCUUUCCUGACUUUCUCUGUGCAUUACUUUUACAUUAAUUUUUAAGUUUUGCAUUGAUUUGAGGCAGAUUUUAAAGGAGAAUAAGGACAAGAAAGAUGUAGGGCAGAAAACUUUCAGGUGUUGAACUAUUUAACUUUAAUUGAAAAACCAGAUUCUAAUACAUUUAGUGUAACAAUGUUAAUAGAUUGUUAUUCAUCCAUUUAGGGUAACAAUGUUAAUAGAUUGUUUGUUGUUAAAUUUAGUGUUCCUUGGUAUUGAUCUAACUGUCAAUCAUUGGUUUUUUAUGAUUAA
Long non-coding RNA from Helianthus annuus (common sunflower), 1284 nucleotides. RefSeq lists it as uncharacterized. Lineage: Eukaryota; Viridiplantae; Streptophyta; Magnoliopsida; Asterales; Asteraceae. The transcript has 3 exons. The record is from RefSeq and is a predicted model, not a curated record.